UUAAGUUCAGCGGGUAUCCCUACCUGAUCCGAGGUCAAACGUUGAAAUAAGCUUUCUGGACGCCGGCUACUAUGGGCCAGAACGCAAAAUGUACUGCGCUCCAACACCUAAUUGCUGGCUGCCAAUUUAUUUAGGGCAAGUUUACAAAGCAAACAGUGCCCAACACCAAGCAUAAGCUUGAAGGUUUAAAUGACGCUCGA
Molecule: unclassified non-coding RNA, 200 nt
Filed under: Pannariaceae sp.
Lineage: Eukaryota; Fungi; Ascomycota; Lecanoromycetes; Peltigerales; Pannariaceae
Description: partial internal transcribed spacer 2
Source: RNAcentral